RNAcentral lists this ribosomal RNA (292 nucleotides) under uncultured bacterium. RNAcentral describes it as "partial 16S ribosomal RNA". The record is from RNAcentral.
GGACUACUGGGGUAUCUAAUCCUGUUUGCUCCCCACGCUUUCGAGCCUCAGCGUCAGUAAUGAGCCAGUGUGUCGCCUUCGCCACUGGUGUUCUUCCGAAUAUCUACGAAUUUCACCUCUACACUCGGAGUUCCACACACCUCUCUCAUACUCAAGAUCGCCAGUAUUGAAGGCAGUUCCGAGGUUGAGCCCCGGGCUUUCACCCCCAACUUAACGAUCCGCCUACGCUCCCUUUACGCCCAGUAAUUCCGAGCAACGCUAGCCCCCUUCGUAUUACCGCGGCGGCUGGCAC